Molecule: long non-coding RNA, 523 nt
Filed under: Bos taurus (domestic cattle)
Lineage: Eukaryota; Metazoa; Chordata; Mammalia; Artiodactyla; Bovidae
Description: long non-coding RNA NONBTAT024438
Source: RNAcentral
AGGUAAUUCAUGGGGAGAACUAAAUGGACUGAAAUUGGUUCCACGUGACCUGCCAACACCUGGGCAGGUAUCGGCCAUUCUCUCCCUCUAAUCGUACAGGAAUUCUAGCCCAGUGUGACCAGAGCUUCCCUACCCAAUAAUUGAACAAACUUUAUUUUAAAAAAAAAAUGUAAAAAGUGAUUUUAAAUGUUGGCUUUUUUCCUUUCUUAAAACACAAGAAAUCAAAUCAAAUUUGGUUUAUUCAUCGUGUUUUCAAAUCUCUUAUAAACUGCUACACCUGGUGAUCACAUUCUCAAGUGAAUGAAAAAUUCUGACCUAUAAUAUAUAUGUUGUACAUUUUUCUGAAAUGAGGUGGCAGGAAACAAAUUAAUCCUAUUGAAAGUGAUCUCAGUCUCAAUUUCUGUUUUCUGUGACAUGUAGAUUAGGUCACCUGCACUGACAAAAGUAGUCUUUUUAUGGGCCAACCAAGGAAUUGUGUUACUGUUUGUUUAUAGUUCUAGUUCAGGCUGUCAGCUACCUUACU